RNAcentral lists this transfer RNA (72 nucleotides) under Marmota monax (woodchuck). It matches the Rfam family "tRNA". From Rfam's summary of the family: Transfer RNA (tRNA) molecules are approximately 80 nucleotides in length. The record is from Rfam by way of RNAcentral. Lineage: Eukaryota; Metazoa; Chordata; Mammalia; Rodentia; Sciuridae.
GGAGGUGUAGCUCAGAGGUAGAAUGUGUGCUUAACAUGCACAAGGGCCUGGGUUCAAACCCUAGCACACCCA